UGUGCUCCUCACGGUGUACUCCUCACGGUGUACUCCACGAGUGACCAUAGUCCUGAUGCGCUCCUCACGGUGUACUCCUCACGUGACCAUAGUCCUCAUGCACCGCACUCAAUGACAAAUCAUAUAGAAUAACUGCAUAACGUGUAUAGCACAGGGUACAGGUUUUCGUUCUGAUCCUGUCCCUCCCUCUACCCAUUGUGCUUCCUUAGAUACCCCAUGAGUAGGCCUAAGUAGGGUUGAUAUCUGUCUGAAGAUAUUGUCUGUGGGCGUAGAUCCAGUUCAGAUGAAGGAGACACUGCUUAGUCUGAGAGCACAACCACGAGAAGUGAUACCAUCGGAGUGCUAACUACACAAAAUUCUUGAAGAUCAAACUGCCAGUCAUCUCAUCCCUCAGGGGCUAUGAGUCAUCACUGUGAGAAGCUCAACCACGUGAUCCCGUCCUUCCAGAUCAGUCUGGACACUCAGCACAGUAGAAAUAAACAGUUUGUAAAGCCCAUGGGAGUAGCAGCAUUGUUUUAAUAGAGAGCGUUAGAGAGUCAGGUUGCAAAGAUGCUACUCAUGUUUGAUGAAAACAGCCAAUGUGACUAUUCUGUAAAGCCUGCUGGCAAAUUCAAGAGGUUGUGGGUGUGGUUUAUAAUUGUAUGUCAAAAUACAUGUAUUCUGGUGAAUAGGGUAUUCUGUAAGAGCUGUGAAGGCCAGUUUUCUCUGAUUCGGAAAUAAAUAAGCUUAGUGCCUGUGGAGUGUGGCCCCUGCCCUGCCAGGCCUUUGGAUGCCCAGAACUGUGAAUCCAAGCAUAGGCCUACAUAUAGUGAGAGGUAUAUUAAUUUAGUCACCUGCUCACUGGAACACAUUUGAUUGAGUUUGGUCAAUAAAAACACAGCCACGUAUAGAUCACAAACAGAAAUGAUUGACACUUUUCAUUAGGAUUGCAUCCUAAGGAAUUAAAACAUUUGAGUAUGUUGUCUUUCUUUUUGGUGCUAAUUUUGUCAUUAGUCAACAUUGUUUUAUUGUUGUCUCAUGUCGUAAAAUCUCAUUUUGAAAAAUCUUGCCAAACCAUCCAGACACUGGACAGUGACAAAUGCAGAGAAAGUGUGUUUGCACGUAAGAGGUGUGAGUACAAGUGUGAGUGUGGGUAUUCUGGGUUGCGCUAGGAAAUGAUCUUAGUAGUGCUGAUUUAGUGUUGGUUUUAUGCUGGGGUACCACUCUGACCAGAGGCUUGAUUUAAAUGAGUUAUUGGCAGCAGCACACAUAUACACUAAACUAGCAUACAAAGUAAGAAAGACUAAGUAUCCAAGUACAUUCAUCUCACAGCAUUUGCUUUUGAAGUGACUCUCACAUUUCAAGCAUUUUCACGCAGGACUGUGAUUUGUUUCAUCAGAGCACAACAUUGGUGCAGGCACUAGGCAGGGUUUGGCCGUUAUUAGGCUUUUACUUCACUGUGAGUAGGUCUUGUGAGAUAAGAUACAUGGUUGUGUUAAGAUAGGAAGAUGUGUGACUGUGGAGAACGUGUCUUCGUGUGGGACACAAUGACACAAUUCAAUGUUUAGUUUAGAUGAGAUUAUACAAUGUCAAGCAUAGGCUAGAUCAUUUAAGUAGGUAGAACAAUGGCAAGAUGGGAAUUUUUGUUGAAAUAAAAAGUUAUUUGCAUUGAGUGUUAUGUAAUAUUUUACUGUUUUAUGGUUUCACAGUAGCGGUUAAAUAUUAUAGCACCGAUCAUACACUAAAGACAAAGCAGAGUAAUUUCAGGUAGGUGUGUCAUCUUUUGUAAAAUUGAGGACCCCGUGAAGUAAUUUGUUACAAUCAGGUUGCCAUAACAACAGUCUUAUUUCACCAGCAGAGGGAAGCAUUAAGCUUUAAUGAGACUUUAAUGGAGGUCAUCCUAUAACCAUGCAUUCCAUAACCAACUAUAAUGUCAUAUGAAGCUGUAUGUUGCCUACAGUUUAUGUUUUUUUUUUUUU
Long non-coding RNA from Clupea harengus (Atlantic herring), 1958 nucleotides. The record is from Ensembl. NCBI's taxonomy places the organism in Eukaryota, Metazoa, Chordata, Actinopteri, Clupeiformes, Clupeidae.